This 996-nucleotide long non-coding RNA is filed under the name Mytilus galloprovincialis (Mediterranean mussel). The record is from RNAcentral. Lineage: Eukaryota; Metazoa; Mollusca; Bivalvia; Mytilida; Mytilidae.
UCUUUUUUGUCAGACUCUAGUGUUGGUUAUAUAUUACUAUUGUUUGAUAUAGUUCAUAUCUACAUACCGUUUUCAGCAUUAAAAAGUAUUAAAUCACAGACUGAAAAUAUUUAUGUCGUUGGCUAAGUUGAAGAAGAUUAUUCAAAAACCAUUUCAUGCACCGACUACCCCGAAAAUCUAUACCCCAGCAAUAUUAGGAGACAGUAUUAUAGGUAGACUAAAACAACAAUCAACUCUACCUAUACAUCAAGAAAUAUACUGGUGGUGUCAGGGAGGUAGGACAGCAACUAAAGCCUUGGAUUGGGUCAAACAAAAUCUUGACACAGAAGUACAGCUGAUUCCAGAAAAAAUCUGGCUAUAUAUUCUUAUAGGAACCUGUGAUUUUACAUCCUUCAACAGAACAACAAAAUAUAUAUCACUGAAAUUUCAAAACAAUGCCGAACUAGUUGAACAUCUUAUUAACAGGUACAAAGAAAUUAUCAAAACACUCAAGGAUCUCUCACCAGACAGCCAAAUUACAAUAUUAGAAAUACCCUUUUUUUCAAUACAAGCCUGGAAUAAAUCACACAGAGGCAUAAAGACCCGGAAGUAUUUUACGAUCAAGACAUCCAAUUAGAGCAACAAAUAAUCGAAAUUAACAAAGCCAUAAGAACCUUGAACCAUCAAAACUUUUCUCCAAAUUUCAACAUAGACUUGUAUAGGACAUCAACCAGGCAACAAAGAACAUAUCAAGCAGGUACUUCACACAGCUGUAGGCAAGGAAAUACCAAGAGUAGGAGAUUGUAUAAUUUAAGCCUCUUGGACGACGGAAUUCACCCAAACAUCCACCUAUCCAAAGCUUGGUUGAGGAAACUUACAAACCAAAUCUCGAGAGACUGUUGGACAAAAAACAAAGCACCAGAAGAAACUGAUGUAAAUAACAACAUCUAGGGAGUAAAACAUCAGAUAAACAUUUAGAGAGUAUAAUAACAAAAAGAUAUCUAUAAUAAAUAGGCU